Helianthus annuus (common sunflower) is the source of this 253-nucleotide long non-coding RNA. RefSeq lists it as uncharacterized. NCBI's taxonomy places the organism in Eukaryota, Viridiplantae, Streptophyta, Magnoliopsida, Asterales, Asteraceae. The transcript has 3 exons. The record is from RefSeq and is a predicted model, not a curated record.
CCAAAAUUGAAGGGUGAAUCGAAGCUCAAAUUCAGGAAGGAAUACGAAUUAAUGAUCACCUACUCAAGGGGAUCAUAAGGAUCAUGUCAAGAUGGGGGAAAGCAUGGAAGGCUAACGGAAAGGAUAUGAGGAAGCAUGUACGAAACGGGCACUCGAGGUUGUACGAAUCACAGAUUAUCAUCAAGAGGAGUAGCGAUCAAGUCAAGAGCAAGGAUUGUACAAAAAGUGCGGUCACAUAGUUAGGUUAUGUAUU